RNAcentral lists this ribosomal RNA (1006 nucleotides) under synthetic metagenome. RNAcentral describes it as "bacterial LSU rRNA". It matches the Rfam family "Bacterial large subunit ribosomal RNA", at positions 1908 to 2925 of the family's 2925-position model. The record is from RNAcentral.
CGAAUUGAAGCCCCAGUAAACGGCGGCCGUAACUAUAACGGUCCUAAGGUAGCGAAAUUCCUUGUCGGGUAAGUUCCGACCUGCACGAAUGGCGUAACGAUCUCCCCGCUGUCUCUGAUGUGGACUCAGCGAAAUUGAACUGUGUGUCAAGAUGCACACUUCCCGCGGUUAGACGGAAAGACCCCAUGAACCUUUACUAUAGCUUCGCACUGGCAUCAGGAUUGUGAUGUGCAGGAUAGGUGGUAGGCAUCGAAGCGGGGACGCCAGUUCCCGUGGAGCCAACCUUGAGAUACCACCCUUCGCCAUCUUGAUGUCUAACCGCGGCCCGUUAUCCGGGUCCGGGACCCUGCGUGGUGGGUAGUUUGACUGGGGCGGUCGCCUCCCAAACAGUAACGGAGGCGCGCGAUGGUGGGCUCAGACCGGUCGGAAAUCGGUCGUCGAGUGCAAUGGCAGAAGCCCGCCUGACUGCAAGACUGACAAGUCGAGCAGAGACGAAAGUCGGCCAUAGUGAUCCGGUGGUCCCGAGUGGAAGGGCCAUCGCUCAACGGAUAAAAGGUACUCUGGGGAUAACAGGCUGAUGAUGCCCAAGAGUCCAUAUCGACGGCAUCGUUUGGCACCUCGAUGUCGGCUCAUCUCAUCCUGGGGCUGGAGCAGGUCCCAAGGGUAUGGCUGUUCGCCAUUUAAAGAGGUACGUGAGCUGGGUUUAGAACGUCGUGAGACAGUUCGGUCCCUAUCUGCCGUGGGUGUAGGAGACUUGAGAAGAGUUGCCCCUAGUACGAGAGGACCGGGGUGAACGAUCCACUGGUGGACCAGUUGUCGUGCCAACGGCAGUGCUGGGUAGCUAUGAUCGGACAGGAUAACCGCUGAAGGCAUCUAAGCGGGAAGCCCCCUUCAAAACAAGGUCUCCCUUGAGGGCCGUGGAAGACCACCACGUCGAUAGGCCAGAGGUGUAAGCGCAGCAAUGCGUUCAGCUGACUGGUACUAAUUGCCCGAUAGGCUUGAUCUG